Molecule: transfer RNA, 81 nt
Filed under: Ovis aries (sheep)
Lineage: Eukaryota; Metazoa; Chordata; Mammalia; Artiodactyla; Bovidae
Rfam family: tRNA
About the family: Transfer RNA (tRNA) molecules are approximately 80 nucleotides in length.
Source: Rfam by way of RNAcentral
UCCCUGGUAGCUCAGUGGUAAAGAAUCUGCCCGCCAAUGCAAGAGGUGCAGAAGACACAGGUUCGAUCCCUGGUUGGGGAA